GACUUAAUUUUCACCCAAAAUGGAGUUUUUGUCUCUGAAAAUUUCCCGUUCUGCAUGUUCUAUCCUUUCCCUUCCCUUCCCUUCCUUUCCCGAACAGCAAUGAAAAUUGAGUCUGUGAGUCCUCUGAUGUUAAAAAAUUUGAGUCCAGGAUCACGAGCAACAUCAAUACCACAAAUGCCAUCAUCAGCAUGUUAUUAGCUGUUGGAAUUAUUCACCAUGGAAGGUCAACGUGCUUGUCAUCUUGUGUCUCUGCCAAAUCUUACAUUAUAUUAAUUGAGGUGCCAGCCUGGGACAGAUGUGUGGCAGCAAUACUUGAAGAUUUCCGAGGCUGUGAAAUGUGUUUCUGAUGAACGGGGAGACGAAGCAAGGAUGACAAAGUUUGAACCUGAGCCAUGUCAAAUAAAUCUUCAGGGCAGCUGUA
Molecule: long non-coding RNA, 421 nt
Organism: Strigops habroptila (Kakapo)
Lineage: Eukaryota; Metazoa; Chordata; Aves; Psittaciformes; Psittacidae
Exons: 3
Source: RefSeq, a predicted model, not a curated record